CGAGGGUGCGAACGUUGCUCGGAUUUACUGGGCGUAAAGCGCGUGUAGGCGGACUCGCAAGUCGGUUGUGAAAUCCCUGGGCUUAACCUAGGAACUGCAUCCGAAACUGCUUGUCUUGAGUAAUGGAGAGGGUGGCGGAAUUCCCGGUGUAGAGGUGAAAUUCGUAGAUAUCGGGAGGAACAUCAGUGGCGAAGGCGGCCACCUGGACAUUUACUGACGCUGAGACGCGAAAGCGUGGGGAGCAAACAGGAUUAGAUACCCGAGUAGUCC
Molecule: ribosomal RNA, 270 nt
Filed under: uncultured archaeon
Lineage: Archaea
Description: partial 16S ribosomal RNA
Rfam family: Bacterial small subunit ribosomal RNA
Source: RNAcentral